This 259-nucleotide ribosomal RNA is filed under the name uncultured bacterium. RNAcentral describes it as "partial 16S ribosomal RNA". It matches the Rfam family "Bacterial small subunit ribosomal RNA", at positions 15 to 273 of the family's 1533-position model. The record is from RNAcentral.
GAUCAUGGCUCAGGAUGAACGCUAGCGGCAGGCUUAACACAUGCAAGUCGAGGGGCAGCGCGGGGCGGCAACGUCCUGGCGGCGACCGGCGGAAGGGUGCGUAACGCGUGAGCGACAUGCCCGUUGCCCGGGGACAACCGGUGGAAACGCCGACUAAUCCCCGAUGGGACGGAGGCCCUCAUGGGUCUCUGUUGAAAGUUACGGCGGCGACGGUAUUGGCUCGCGUCCGAUUAGCUUGUGGCGGGGUAACGCCCACAGG